AUGCACGCUGGCGGCGUGCUUCACCCCUGCCAGUCGCACGAUGAAGCCCAGCUUGCUGGGUGGAUUAGUGGCGAACGGGUGAGUAACACGUGAGUAACCUGCCCUUGACUCUGGGAUAAGCCUGGGAAACUGGGUCUAAUACUGGAUAUGACUUCUCAUCGCAUGGUGGGGGGUGGAAAGAUUUAUUGGUCUUGGAUGGACUCGCGGCCUAUCAGCUUGUUGGUGAGGUAAUGGCUCACCAAGGCGACGACGGGUAGCCGGCCUGAGAGGGUGACCGGCCACACUGGGACUGAGACACGGCCCAGACUCCUACGGGAGGCAGCAGUGGGGAAUAUUGCACAAUGGGCGCAAGCCUGAUGCAGCGACGCCGCGUGAGGGAUGACGGCCUUCGGGUUGUAAACCUCUUUCAGUAGGGAAGAAGCGAGAGUGACGGUACCUGCAGAAGAAGCGCCGGCUAACUACGUG
RNAcentral lists this ribosomal RNA (465 nucleotides) under uncultured bacterium. Its description in RNAcentral is "partial 16S ribosomal RNA". It matches the Rfam family "Bacterial small subunit ribosomal RNA", at positions 29 to 507 of the family's 1533-position model. The record is from RNAcentral.